Rhea pennata is the source of this 9034-nucleotide long non-coding RNA. RefSeq lists it as uncharacterized. Lineage: Eukaryota; Metazoa; Chordata; Aves; Rheiformes; Rheidae. The transcript is spliced from 4 exons. The record is from RefSeq and is a predicted model, not a curated record.
GGAAGAUGGCGGAGUGAGAGGAACAGGCGGAGGGGCCGGGGCCGGGGCCGGCCGCGGCCCGGCGGCCGGGGCCGCGCGCGGGUGAGCAACACGCAGAUCAGAUUUGCACUAAAUUUUUCAGUCAAGAUGCUUCAAAUUUUUUGUGCUACAGAAAGGUUCACUGAAGAGAAUGUUGGUUGGUGACAAAUAAUGAUCUUCUCUCGACAUUUGAGAAGGUGGUCUUUGCUUUUUCUUGGUGACUGCUCGUAGGCUGUGAGAUACAUAUCUUUCUCUUCUAGCAAGAGAAAGCCUGUCCUUUAUUUCCAUGAAGCUGGAUGAACAAAGACCUCUGCACUUCCUGCUGUCACCAUUUCACCCAACAUUUGAGUCACCAGAUGACUUCUCCCACAGAAGCACCACACCAUUUUACCAAAACUCAAAAGCAGAGUGACAGAAAUGAGCAUUUGUUUCCCUGAAGAAGUGUCUCCUGUGCCAGUUCUUCAUUCAGCUUUCUGCAUUCUGUUUUAAAAUGAGAAAUACUUUGUAAUCAUGUACAUGGAUGGAUGUAUGGAGACACUGGUGUUCUUCACUGAUACCUCCUCCUUCAUUUUAGGAGGGAUAGAUUCUUCACUGUGUCAUAUUGGAGCUCCUGUCAGAUGAAGUGUCUGCAUGUUUUGCUACGCCAGGCUGUCUUGAUGUGGAUGGGAGGUUACAGCAGGAAAACCAGAAUACACUUUGCACUCUGAAAUGAGGAAGAAAUUUACCAAACAAUUGGGGAAACCCCAUAGCAGGUAUUUUCCAGUCCGGGACCCAGGCUUGGCUCUGUAGAUAGAUGUCUUGAUGUCAACUUGCAUAAAGCAGCUAAUGCAAAGGAACAAAUGCAGUUACCUUGUCUAUAGAGUGUAAAUGCAUCAUCCCACUCUGUGAUCAAAAUAUAUAUUUGCAUGUGUAAAUCCACAUAAGUGCUGGAUAUGAUGAGCUUUGACCAGAAGGAGAAAUUACUCUGCACAUUUCAUUUUUCAUAAAGAAAAUGAAGCUUUAAAGAUCUCCAGAGUUACAAGAUAAUGACUGGGUUUAUGUUAAAUUGUUCCCUCUCCAUGGCUCUUUAAGAAUCCUAAACAGCAAAAGGAACAAAAACAUUCUGCCAUCAAAGAAAUGGGGCAGAACUUUUUUGUUUGUUAAAGGAAUUCUCUUCUGUUGUGAUGGAAGAGACCAGAGGUGUAAAGCUCCAGUUUAUCCACUCAACUUUCUUGGCACAGUUUCAGCUUUUCUUACUGCUGAUGGAGUAAUGGAGAUGGAGGCAAGCAAAAUUGGCUUUUUGAUUCUUCUGUGGCUGAUGGAGAACUGGGAUGACCUACAUGUUUCCGUCAUAUAGAUAGAAAUAGGCCCAAUAGAAUAAACUCUUAGCCACUUAAGAGUGAUGUGUUCAGAGAAAGCAGAAAUACAUAGGAUGGGCUUUUUUUUUUUUUUUUUUUUUUUCUAUUUCCUCCUGGAUUUUGUUCCCAAACUAAGGAGCAAUCUGUUUUCAUGUUUACAUAGCAUUCUUUGUCUCCAUCAUUUGUGAUUAUUUGGGAUGUUUUCUGUCAUUCUGAGACAUGAGCUUAAAAUGUUCACAUGCUCCCUGCUGUGGUAUUGUAUAUGACAAGUAUGAUUUCUUGGCAAAAGAGCCAGAGCAGAAAUAGGAUGUGUAUUCUAUUCCACUUUAAUUGGGAGCUCUUUUUAGUGCACCUUAUUCCAAGGUCAUGAUUUAGAAAAUGUGACUUACUAGCUUAAAAUAAUAUUUUCAAAUCUGGAUCAAAUAAAGGUAUAUAGGUUCUGUUAAUAGGGUUUGAGGGGAUAAUAGCAGGGCUAGGGGACAUUUUGGGGAGGGAGGUUGUUUUAUUUUUCCUUCUAGAAAACUGCUGGAGAGAGCCAGAAAGUCUGAAAAUGGCUGGAAAAAAAGCAACAGCUAAAAUUCAUCAUAAAUCUUAGUGAUAGAUUGCAAGGACAGCAUUCUAACAUUUAAAAUGUAGUGAAAUUUAACAGGGAACAAGUUCCAUAGUAUAGUGAGGACAGAUACUGAUUUUGAUUCUGGUCUUUACUAUUAUAGAGUUCUGUUAGACCUACAUUUAGACAUGCAUUGUAACAACAAGAUUUAAUGACAGCUUUACCCAUUUUUUGUUUCCAUGAAGAAAAGAUCAGGCUCGUAAGUUAAGGAGUGGUGGGCAAGAUGCUGCAUGUCAAAAGAAAGCCAGUUGUAAUGAGCAGAGGUGCACUAACAUUGUGGGUAAGAGUCACGUUAAUUGUGGCAAAGCAACCACAAACUUGGCCUGACUUCUUUUAAGAAUGUAGGAUUUGUUUGCUGAAUACAGUCUAGAUUUUACUGGUUUAGAGGCGACUAGAAAUGCGUUUCCUUCUAGGUCCUCCUUAUAUUGAAAUCGAUGGGAUUUAAUGUAGAUGUCUGUAGAAACAGGAUCCAUCUCUUAAGUGAUGGAAAAUACUGUCAGUGUCAUAGGAUCAUAUGAGGUUGGAAGGUAUCUGGCAUAAGAAAUACUUGAUCCUAAAUCCGAGAAUUUCUUUCUUUAUUGUAUCUAUACUCAUUAUCCUUCAGAUGUUAGAGCUAGCAGCUUGGUGGCAAAAAUACACGGGGGACAAGAAUAUGUUUUUGUUUUCUGUGGGUAUGUACAAAACUGAUUAGAGAGUAGACACACCUUAAGCUCUUUGCCAUGAUCAUAGGAAUAACUCAACAUUUUGUAAUCCUGCGUUCUGACAAAGAAAUAGAACCAUUGAUUUUUCCUGACUGCUAUCCCUGACGAUGUGACAAUGUUAGUUUUUAAAUUUAAUUUUAGAACAUAUAUUUUUAGCAGGGCUAAAGAUCUGUGGUUAUCACAGAAAUAGUACUCCAAUAGUGCAUGCCCAAGAAAUCCCCACUGCCGUAUCUUUCCAGCCAGCUUCUAUGUAAGACUGCUGUUUUAGGAAAUGCUGUCUCAGCAUUCUUACUUUUUCUUGCUCCACUUUAUUUCUCUAUGUUGGUUGGAAAUCUUCCCAUGUGAAAGAUUACAAAAACAAAGGGCAUGUGCAAUAGAUCAUAUAUAUAUACAUAUAUAUAUUUUAAUACUUGUGGACAAAAUGAUGUUACAAGUUGUUUGAAAACAACAAAAUCACCAAUGUCUUCCAUUUUGAGAUGUGUAUAGUUCCAUAAGCAUUAGUGCUUUGUAGCAAACUGUAGUGCCAUGUUAGGAUCAGUGCAUGAGCCUAGUAGUAUUUUUACAAUUUCAGAGUGACAAAUUUAUUAAUAAACAGUGAUAAUGUAAUUAACAAUAGAAAGGAUACAGUAAAAAUGUCACAAACAUGGUCUAAAUAUGCAGUAUCCUCCCUUUGGCAAUGGUAAUGCUAUCUUUAGAAAUGGAAUGUAUUCAGUUAAUGGGCUUCAUAGAAUCAUAGUUGACUUCUUGUUUUUAGUAACUCUGUCCAACUGCAAUAGUAAACUAUUGUACGUAAGCAUCCAGAUUUCUCAUCUCUUUACCAGUGGUGUCUUUUUCUUUUUAGUGAAGGUGAUUUCUUCUAUGAGCAGCAUUUUCAGUUUUAUUAUUACCCAUUCUAUGAUAUACUCAGAAAAUAUGAAUACGUUAAAGAGUUAGUGUGCAUUUUGUACACAUCUCUGCAACCUUAAGAUUAUCAUUUACAAAAUCUGUUAAUUAAGUCAGAACAAUUUUUCAGAUCAGACUAUGUAAUUGUUAUAACAAGUUAAAUGUUAGCCUCAUCAUCUUAUAAAUUAAUAGUUGCAAAAUGCUAUCUGCUAAUUUUACGCAGAAGACUUAUCCAUUAUUGCAGGAAUCAGGAACUAUUUUUGCUGAAGUCCUAUUGAAUCUCUUAACACCUUUGGUGGAUCCUGCAUUUACAUGCAUCUUAAUAAAGACAUGGGAGAAUAUAAUAAGGUCAAGGGCUGUUAAAGUCAAUGUUGCAGACUGUAGCUGUUCAGUAGGCUGUUUCUAGCCUAUGGAUCAUAAAUUCCCCACUCCUGUAUUAUUGAGAAGUAAAUACCCUGUAUUUUGGAUAACUUCCAGUAUUGCUUUCCAUCUCUAAUCUCGAUUUUAAUAGUUUCUGUCUCUCCCUCUGCUUUUUGAGAAGGAAACUUUAGACCACGGGAAGUUCAAAUGAUUUAGCACUCAAUGGGCAGCUUGGACUGGUCAAAUAAGAGACUGUUAUGAUCCCUAAGAUUUGCAAUGUUCUGUGGAUGGCAUCCUCUUGAUUUCCUAGGAAAAAGUGUUUUAUUUGAUGCCAGUGUUUCUUUUCACCCAUUUCUCUUUUAUAAGAACAAAUUCUCUUGUCAGCUUAGAGAGGAUACUGCAUCUUUUCUUUCCUGAGACCUGCCUGUAAAUGGCCGUUAGGGGGAGGGAGGGAAUGAGUAGCUUGGUUUUGUAAUUUUAAUAUAAGUAUAAAGUAAUUAAGCAGCAUAUACUUGUGUGCAAAACCAGUAAUACUUGCAGAGUUAAUGUAUGUAACAAAAAACAAAAAAAAAUCUUCUGCAUCUACUAUAUCCCCAAGAAAAUUGGGCAGGUGGGCCAUUUACAGCAGAGCUCUGGGGGACCUGUCAUUGGAGUUAGGUUCAGUUCUGAACAAAAGUAGCUGUGUAGCUGUACCAUUGAAUAAAGUAGUUUAGUGCUUGGGAGAAUCAUUUGAAAAAUACCUCUGAAACUGGAAUGCAAAAUAGCACAGUAUGUAGGGGGAAGAAUCCCUGAUGCAAACAAAGCCAUAAGAUGAUUUAAUAAGAAAAAAUAGAACUUUAGUAGCAAUAACUGUUUUGCAUGUGAUAGUAAAUAACUUGCAUUAGCAAGAUUGUACAGUAGAAUAAGUGGGUAAUAACCAAAUAAGUUUGUGGGGUUCUGUGCUGCAGGGAGUUGCACGAUAAGUAUCUUCCUAAGAUGAUGGGUGAAUUCCUCUUAAUGUUCCUCUCAUUGGAGAGAACUUGGCACUUGAAUACUUUGUUAAUGAACCUGGUAUGAAAACCACUGAUUAGUUUUGUCACAUGUCUGAAUCAAUGUGUGCUGAGAAGGGCAGGCAGUUCUUUCUGAAACUAUGGGUGAAGUCCCCCCCUCCAUUUUUUUUUUAGUAGUCUAGUACUUGCUCUGUUUCUCUGAGGUAAAACUGAACCUUUCCAAGUACUGUACUGUGAAGAGAACCUGACACUCAAACAUUUAUACUUCCCAAACAAAAUUACACGAUUCUAAAAAUAUUACUUUACAGUGAAAAUAAUUUUGGACUUGCUAAAUACUGUUUUAGACCAUGGUUGAUUUCUGUUGCUGUCUGAAGUUUUGGAGAGGGAAGUGCUGUGAAGCCUCUACUAACACAAGGGGAUAUUGAUCUACAGCUGUAGCCUCUGUUUAAAAAAAAAAAAAAAAAAAGAAAAGAAAAAAAAUGUUUUGACACUUUGUUUCCAGUGCAGAUACCUAGUCUGUAGAGACAGUAGGGGCCAGUACAUAAUAUUCUUGUAAACAGAACUACUACAUCAGAGAUGUAGCUCUAUCAGUUUGGAUUUCUUUUAGAAAGGUGAAAUAAUUUGAACCAUAACUUAUAGCUGGAGGGAGGCUACCAAUAGUUCAAAAGUACUUAAGAGAAAUCCUUUGGCUCUUCAUAAGUUGAUAAUGAGACUGUGAGAGCUGUGAGCAUUUUUGCAGUCUAAAGUAACCAAGAUAAACAUGAGGAUGACUAAAUUAGGUGUUAACUAAUAUGUAAUAUGCAUAUGAAAAACUAAUUGAUCUGGAAGGUUGUAAACAGCUUAAAUUCCAGCUACUGGAUUAUUGAUAAAACUGGAAGAUGGCCAUAGGAAACCUUAAUUUGAUUAUUAGCUAGUAUUAGAUAGGUUACAAAUUUAUUCUGGUCAGUGGUUAUCAAGUACAUUUGCGUAAUAAUGAAAACAUAGUCACGUUCACAUUUCUGAAGUAUAAAUUUUGUGACUGAAUAGAAUUUUUCAAGGCUUUAUUCAUCUAGAGAAAAGAGGAAAUAAAUAAGACUGCAGUAGCUAGGCAAGUUGUCCAUGUAUUCAUCCCAGUUCAGACUUUAUAAUGAUCUAUACUCCACGGCGAUUAGAAAUUAUUCUUCAUAGCAGCAACAGAAAUCCCAUUGCCUUACAGCUGCUAAACUCUGGUGUGACUUGGGUCCCAAGCCCUUGAUUCCACUGCUUCUAAAACUAAGCAGAAGUGUCAGAUGCUACCAUAUUUCACUGUAGGGUAUCAAAUAUAUACUACCCACUAAAGACAUGACUCCUUUAGCAGUACUAAACUUAGAUGGUGCAUGUAUAUACUGUUUCCUUACCCAGUGGUGCUGCUGCAGAAGGUCUAGCCAGUAGUUAUGUUGGGAAUUGCAACUUCUUCUGAAGAUAAUUGUUAAUUCAGGACUCAAAACAAAAGAGAGUCUUGCAAAGACUCCUAAAUAUUGAGAGAAGAAAUUGUAUCAAGCUUCAGGACACUAACACUUUACACAAGGAGUACAUUGACAAGAGCUAGCAGUGUAUUUCUGGGCAGAGAAUAAUAUAGAACAGAACAGUUUUUGAUGAACCACCAGUCUUUGGAGUAUCUGCUUCCCCACUUCCCUAAGAAACUGUCUGGUCUUCCUUCAAAACUUAAGAAUCCUACUUGCUCUUCAGGUACAGAGCUGCAUAAUGGCAGUUCAGGUUAGAUACCUUUGGAUUUCUUGUAAUGAAUGAUCCAGCAUAUUGCCCCUACAGCACUUUGACUAGCACACAAAAGCCAGCAAUGGAACCAGGGUGUCUCAUUUAUUAGUGCAGAACACUAACCACGGAUUUCUGAACUCUUUCGGUCUGCUCUGCACUUUAUACUGAGCAAUAGUUUCAGAGAAAGAGUGUUUCUGUCACUGAGCCUAUGUACCAGUUUAUAAUACAGGGAUUCCCUAAGUUUGCAACAUCUACUGUUAAAGGUAAAAGGUAACUUACUGUCUAGUGUGUCCUGUGUAAAUCCUGGUUGCUUCUCUUCCUCUUCCCUUCCAAAUAAGCGUGUUUGCAAGUCCCACAAAAGAAGGCUAAUUUGUGAUGCCUCAGAAGGAAGAACUGCAUGGAGAAAUUGAAGGAAAGUAGCACAGGCCCACAAACCAAAUCUUAGAGCUAGUAUUCUAAUUAUGCAUGAUUCAAAAUGUCUAGUGUAAUGUAGUUAUUACCAGUAAAUUGAGAUAUGCAUUUAUACAUAAUGAAGCAAUAGGAAUUAAUAUACCAAUAGCUUGAACUUCCUGCUUUGAUUCUCAAAUUUUGUUUUUAGAGAAUGCUCUGCCCCUGUAGAGAAAGGGGCAGAAUGUACAGAUAGGGGCAGAAGCAUGGCACCAAAACAGCAAAUCAGAAACCAGGAUCAGCAGAACUUGCCUUCAUAACCUCUUGUCUGGUUCACAUUAGUGCCCUGGGCAUGUAAAAAGCAGGGCAUGAACUAAGCAUGUUUAGAGGUGAAAUGAGGUUUCUCACGUGCUGCAGCUGUAGCAAGGAAAAGGGUGCAGAGUUUCUCACAAGGUGCAGGGGGUAGCAACUUGUGGAAAAAGAAAUAACAAAAAAAAACACACAGUAACAGAAACAAUAGACUCAGAUUGAGUGGUUAUUUGCCAGACAGUAGGUAAAAGGCUUGGGUGUGGUGACAGAAAUUAUUUGGAGAAGACUGAAAUCAAUAAGCACAGUACAUAUAUUUCAGGUGUUGAAUAGCUUUUUAAUAGACAGUAUUUUCAGGUAACUCUCUAGCUACAUAGGCAGCUGUACUGAAGCAUACUGGUAUCAGCCAGCAAUAAUGGCAUCUGCAGGAAUGAACCUGAAAAUACUGGUUAUCUUGUAUAUUUUUUAAGUUCUUUUUGUCAAAGAGAUUUUUAAAAACAGAAAAUGAGAUUUGAUCACUGAAGGUCUUUAUCUUCUGCAACACAGGUUGCAAUAUAGUAUUUUUUUCUUUAUUUCACUUAUUAAAUAAAAGGAAGAUUGGGUGCCAUCUUUCUGUAAACUUUUAGUGUGUUCUCUGUAUUAUUUCCCAAGUCUUUUAGUGGGUGAUGCAGUGAAUUUCUGCUGGCAGUAUGAAAAUAACAUAGAACCUAUGGCAUAGCCUAUAUCACUAAUACUUUUCCCAGUCUGAAGUAUUCAAACAAGUAGAACACUAGUUUGUUUACUGCAGGAGUCCAUACUUACAGCUUAGCUUAAUUUUAUAGGUGGGCUUAACUUGUGCGAACAUUCCUUCAUAUACUUGAGGCUCAGCUCUCUUUCUUAAAUAGAAAGAGUAAGGGUCUUCGAGAAAGAAACUGUGUCAAGUUAACUCCCGUUCACACUUCUUAGCCAACCAUCCACAAAGCACCAUGUUUUGAGUUUAGAAUGGGGACCAUGUUUUCUUCAUGAAUGCUCUUUUUAUUGAUACACAAAAAUUGCCAAAUGAAGAUAGGAAUAUGGCAAGAUAACUAUUUUGUGGUAUCAGAAACUAGAUUAAAUGAAAUCCUUUGAGCCAACUUCAAGCAAAAAGGGAAUUUGUAAAACAAGUUUAGCCCAGUGGUUAACCAUGUCCAUCCAAAACCUACUUGAUUCUAUUCUAUAGAAUGCUUCACAUGGUCUUUAAUUCAAUAUAUUCUCUUUCAUGUGAAGAGUAAGUAGUUGUAGGGGUACUUUAGGACUUCAGUGAAGCUAUCCUCCUUUUGAAAAGUAUGAUGUAGCAGCAGAGGAGAGUAUUAGACAGUUGUAGGAGAUUCUUAAGAGUUAUGUUAAUACUUAAAAAACAGGUUAGAGAACACUUCUAAUACAGGGCUUCUGAUGGCAUGCUCACAUGGGUUAUUGGAGGAAAUUAUUGGUAUCACUAUGAACUAUGAUGUACUCUCCCAUUGCACACACAUUUUACAUGGCAACAGUAAAAGAAUGUCUCCCUGUGAAUUCUGAAGUUUUUCCAAAAGGCAGCUUGCUUUUAUAUCUAUGCAUCUUUGGGGAUUUCAAGAUAAGAUUUUAUUCUUUUGACACUGUAAAGAGGAACUGUUUAAAAAUGAACUUGGAAACUCUGCACCUGUAUACAAUUUUUUUUUAGCAAUAAAGCAGCACAGGCUGAGAAUGCACUAAAAA